UACAGAGGGUGCAAGCGUUGCUCGGAUUUACUGGGCGUAAAGCGUGCGCAGACGGCUGAGUAAGUUGGGCGUGAAAGCCUGGGGCUCAACUCCAGAAAUGCGUUCAAAACUGCUCGGCUCGAGUAUGAGAGAGGGAAGUGGAAUUCCUGGUGUAGAGGUGAAAUUCGUAGAUAUCAGGAGGAACACCAGCGGCGAAGGCGGCUUCCUGGCUCAUUACUGACGUUCAGGCACGAAAGCGUGGGGAGCAAACAGGAUUAGAUACCCUGGUAGUCCACGCUGUAAACGAUGCAUACUAGCUGUUGGGGGUAUAAACUCCUUCGGUAGCGAAGCUAACGCGAUAAGUAUGCCGCCUGGGGAGUACGGCCGCAAGGUUG
This 374-nucleotide ribosomal RNA is filed under the name uncultured prokaryote. Its description in RNAcentral is "bacterial SSU rRNA". It matches the Rfam family "Bacterial small subunit ribosomal RNA", at positions 524 to 896 of the family's 1533-position model. The record is from RNAcentral.